RNAcentral lists this unclassified non-coding RNA (723 nucleotides) under Hevea brasiliensis (rubber tree). The record is from RNAcentral. Lineage: Eukaryota; Viridiplantae; Streptophyta; Magnoliopsida; Malpighiales; Euphorbiaceae.
GCGCCUCCACACUGCUAUCGCAUCGUCUCUUCGCUCUCUCUGUUUGGCUUGUAUCUGGUAAUUAGAUUCAAGAAGAGAAAAUGUCUGGUGAAGAGCCUGUUGCUGCUGAGACUCCAGCUCCCGCCCCCGCUCUUGGGGAGCCCAUGGAUAUCAUGACAGCAUUGCAACUUGUCCUCAGGAAAUCACGGGCUCAUGGUGGUUUAGCUAAAGGUCUUCAUGAGGCUGCUAAGGUUAUUGAGAAGCAUGCUGCCCAACUUUGCGUUUUGGCAGAGGACUGUGACCAACCAGACUAUGUGAAAUUGGUCAAAGGUCUAUGCGGUGAUCACAAUGUUAGCCUGAUCACUGUUCCUAAUGCCAAGACACUUGGUGAAUGGGCUGGUCUGUGCAAGAUUGACUCUGAAGGCAAAGCUAGGAAAGUUGUCGGAUGCGGUUGUGUUGUAGUAAAGGAUUUUGGAGAGGAAACUGAAGGGCUCCACAUUGUUCAGGAAUAUGUGAAGUCUCACUAAGUGAAAUGUUGAAUUAGAGAGGUUUAGCUUGUUUUUGGUUGUGACAUGAAAAUUCUUGAUUGUUAUAAAACCAGAUUUUGAUAAAUUUCAAUUUGUAGUCAUUUGUGAUUCUGGUUAUGCACGGCUUCUUGAACUUUAUAGGUCUUUUGGAUCCCUAUGAAUGAACCAAUUCGAUUAUAAUCUGUUCUGGUAACAUUUUGCAAGAAUGAUAUCAGGA